Molecule: ribosomal RNA, 538 nt
Filed under: uncultured bacterium
Lineage: Bacteria
Description: bacterial SSU rRNA
Rfam family: Bacterial small subunit ribosomal RNA
Source: RNAcentral
UGAGGAGUAUUGGUCAAUGGGCGAGAGCCUGAACCAGCCAAGUAGCGUGCAGGAUGACGGCCCUAUGAGUUGUAAACUGCUUUUGUAUGGGGAUAAAGUCAGUCACGUGUGAUUGUUUGCAGGUACCAUACGAAUAAGGACCGGCUAAUUCCGUGCCAGCAGCCGCGGUAAUACGGAAGGUCCGGGCGUUAUCCGGAUUUAUUGGGUUUAAAGGGAGCGUAGGCUGGAGAUUAAGUGUGUUGUGAAAUGUAGACGCUCAACGUCUGACUUGCAGCGCAUACUGGUUUCCUUGAGUACGCACAACGUUGGCGGAAUUCGUCGUGUAGCGGUGAAAUGCUUAGAUAUGACGAAGAACUCCGAUUGCGAAGGCAGCUGACGGGAGCGCAACUGACGCUGAAGCUCGAAGGUGCGGGUAUCGAACAGGAUUAGAUACCCUGGUAGUCCGCACAGUAAACGAUGGAUGCCCGCUGUUGGUACCUGGUAUCAGCGGCUAAGCGAAAGCAUUAAGCAUCCCACCUGGGGAGUACGCCGGNNCGGU